UACAGAGGGGGCGAGCGUUGUCCGGAAUCACUGGGCGUAAAGGGCGCGUAGGCGGCAUGCCAAGCGUGUGGUGAAAGCCCGGGGCUCAACCCCGGGUCGGCCGUGCGGACUGGCGUGCUCGAGCACUGUAGGGGCGGGUGGAAUUCCGGGUGUAGCGGUGGAAUGCGUAGAGAUCCGGAAGAACACCAGCGGCGAAGGCGCUGCUCUGGGCCGGUACUGACGCUGAGGAGCGAAAGCGUGGGGAGCGAACAGG
RNAcentral lists this ribosomal RNA (253 nucleotides) under uncultured bacterium. Its description in RNAcentral is "partial 16S ribosomal RNA". It matches the Rfam family "Bacterial small subunit ribosomal RNA", at positions 524 to 776 of the family's 1533-position model. The record is from RNAcentral.